UGAACGCUGGCGGCAGGCCUAACACAUGCAAGUCGAGCGGUAACAGGGAGUAGCUUGCUACUCCGCUGACGAGCGGCGGACGGGUGAGUAAUGUCUGGGGAUCUGCCUGAUGGAGGGGGAUAACUACUGGAAACGGUAGCUAAUACCGCAUAACGUCGCAAGACCAAAGAGGGGGACCUUCGGGCCUCUUGCCAUCGGAUGAACCCAGAUGGGAUUAGCUAGUAGGUGGGGUAAUGGCUCACCUAGGCGACGAUCCCUAGCUGGUCUGAGAGGAUGACCAGCCACACUGGAACUGAGACACGGUCCAGACUCCUACGGGAGGCAGCAGUGGGGAAUAUUGCACAAUGGGCGCAAGCCUGAUGCAGCCAUGCCGCGUGUGUGAAGAAGGCCUUCGGGUUGUAAAGCACUUUCAGCGAGGAGGAAGGCAUUAAGGUUAAUAACCUUGGUGAUUGACGUUACUCGCAGAAGAAGCACCGGCUAACUCCGUGCCAGCAGCCGCGGUAAUACGGAGGGUGCAAGCGUUAAUCGGAAUUACUGGGCGUAAAGCGCACGCAGGCGGUUUGUUAAGUCGGAUGUGAAAUCCCCGGGCUCAACCUGGGAACUGCAUUCGAAACUGGCAAGCUUGAGUCUUGUAGAGGGGGGUAGAAUUCCAGGUGUAGCGGUGAAAUGCGUAGAGAUCUGGAGGAAUACCGGUGGCGAAGGCGGCCCCCUGGACAAAGACUGACG
RNAcentral lists this ribosomal RNA (726 nucleotides) under Cedecea sp. RNAcentral describes it as "bacterial SSU rRNA". It matches the Rfam family "Bacterial small subunit ribosomal RNA", at positions 30 to 745 of the family's 1533-position model. Lineage: Bacteria; Pseudomonadati; Pseudomonadota; Gammaproteobacteria; Enterobacterales; Enterobacteriaceae. The record is from RNAcentral.